ACAAAGAGAUACAAGGUCCCACACUCUAUCUACUAUGCCACCCAGAUGUGCUUGCAGUCCAUCAAAAUAUCAAAAUCUUUUUUCAUCUGGAUCAAAGUGCAGUAUAUUUCCAGAUUGCUUUUUCACUCCCAUAGUCUGUAUUUAUGCAGAGAAUGCAGACUGAUUUUCAUCUCAGUCUAAGCCAAGCUUAAUUGGGAAGACUAAUCUUCUGGAAAACAAAGAAAAAUUCCACAAUGAGAACAGAAAGAGCAUGUAUUACAUGACAAAACAAAUAAACAGACA
RNAcentral lists this long non-coding RNA (282 nucleotides) under Monodelphis domestica (gray short-tailed opossum). Its description in RNAcentral is "lncRNA (ENSMODG00000041684.1)". The record is from RNAcentral. Lineage: Eukaryota; Metazoa; Chordata; Mammalia; Didelphimorphia; Didelphidae.